CACGUAGGGGGCAAGCGUUGUCCGGAUUUAUUGGGCGUAAAGAGCUCGUAGGCGGUUCAGUAAGUCGGGUGUGAAAACUCUGGGCUCAACCCAGAGAGGCCACCCGAUACUGCUGUGACUUGAGUACGGUAGGGGAGCGGGGAAUUCCUGGUGUAGCGGUGAAAUGCGCAGAUAUCAGGAGGAACACCAGUGGCGAAGGCGCCGCUCUGGGCCGUAACUGACGCUGAGGAGCGAAAGCGUGGGUAGCAAACAGG
This 254-nucleotide ribosomal RNA is filed under the name uncultured bacterium. Its description in RNAcentral is "partial 16S ribosomal RNA". It matches the Rfam family "Bacterial small subunit ribosomal RNA", at positions 524 to 776 of the family's 1533-position model. The record is from RNAcentral.